Molecule: long non-coding RNA, 2328 nt
Filed under: Anas platyrhynchos platyrhynchos (common mallard)
Lineage: Eukaryota; Metazoa; Chordata; Aves; Anseriformes; Anatidae
Description: lncRNA (ENSAPLG00000029105.1)
Source: RNAcentral
GCCAUCUGCAACAGACAGACACAAACCUGUUAUUGCUCCUAAGGCAGGCUCACCUCCCUUCUGAGAAGGCUCUAUGGGACAGUCAGACUGUUUGGGAUGUCAUCAUCUGUCCAUCUACCUGCUGGGCUAGCCCACAAGCCUUGACAGACUUACACAGUUCAGAAUAAAGCCUGUUGUCCUCCAUGUCCUCUCCAGUCCUUCUAACUCAUAGAUGCCAUAGAAUCAUAGAAUAAUUUACGUUGGGAAAGACCUCUAAGAUCAUCUGAUCCAACCUUUAACCUAGCACUGCCAAAUCCAACAUUAUACCAUUUCACUAAGUUCUACAUCUACACAACUUUUGAAGACCUCCAGGGAUGGUGACUCAACCACUUCCCUAGGCAGCCUGUUCCAAUGCUUCACAACCCUUAAAGUGAAGAAAUUUCCCCUCAAAUCCAACCUAACCCUCUCCUGGUGCAACUUGAGGCCAUUUCUUCUUGUCCUAAUGCUUGUUGCUUGGGAGAAGAGCCUGAUCCCCACCUUGGUGUAGCCUCCUUUAGGGUAAUUGUAGAGCUCCAUAAAGUCUCCUCUGAACCACCUUUUCUCCAUCACCCACAAAUGGAACCACCCUGGCUCAACAUUUUGGGAACUCCUAUCGUUUGGAGAAAAGAAACAAUGCCAGACCUUAUUCUCCACCUUCUCCAAUGUGUGCAAUAAGAUGUCAGGGUCAAGUAUGUCACCUAAUCAUCAAAGCAGGGAGGUCUGGGACAGCUUCUCAGCAAUCUAGGGCGGUGGGGAAAUACCCCUUGCCCCCUCCAGUUUUUAAAAUGAUGCUGAAUAAGCUUCAUAUGGGUGUUGUAUUAUGUGAAGAACCAUUGAGUGGACCCUGGAAAUUCUUUAUAGCCUCACAUUGCUGGAGACUCAUUGAAUUUAACAAAGAGAAAGCAGGAGCUGUGAAUCAAGAAACCUCACUGUUUGACACAGCUGGGGUCAGACUGCAGCCAGAAUGGGUUAAAUGUGUCCUGCAGGAACUGGCAGCUACUGGAUGGCUUUGCUUCUGCUUCCCAGCUGCUUGCAUAAAGGGUUUGUUGCUGUCUGAGUCUGCCCCAGCCCGACUGUCUGCAGCAAAGUCAACAACCCCGAGCGGGCUAUGCUGGAGCGUCUCGGUCUCUGCUCAGCCCAGAGGCAGGCUCUGCAAUACCUUCCCUGGGCAAUGGGGGUUAAAACCCUCUCCUGCCUUUGCAGUCCAGCUCUGGACUGUGAAAAGUAACCCAUGGCAGCUGGCACAUAGCUGUGGUAAAGCCCCCCAACAAGGAGGAAGUCACAGAUGUAACAACACCAUCAAAAGCUAAGGCUGUUCUUGUCAUCCUGGGCUCCCAGUGAAGGCAGACAGGUUUCUCAGGAAAUGCAUGAGCCCAUCAGGAGCCCUCUGUGAUGACAUUGGCAUGGACUUGGUGCCAAUAGUCUUUGAAAGAGAAAACACAGUCCUCAGCUUCUCAAGGCACAGUGCCUCGUGCAGACCAUGGACCAGGCUGAGACCUUGCUUUGGCUACUCAAUCACCUGCAUAAAAGCUUCUUGAAGCCACUGGGGAUCAUUUUGAGUGCUAUUUCCCAAACUUUCCCAAUUUAGUGUAGGUCUGGAGACCCUGGGCAGGGAGAAGUUUGAGCAUCCUUCCAUCUAUCUUGGAGAAGUCCAAACCUCCUUCCAUGUCUCUUGGAUAAGUCCAAGCCCCCUUCCAUCUCUCCUGGCUUCUGCAGCAGUCCUGGUGACAAAAUGGGGUCCCUGAGCUGUGUGAAUGGUGCUGUGGGCUCUCGAAGACCCACACUGCUUGUGUUGAAGCAUGAGUCCAGGGAAAGUUCUCCAGACCCACGCCAGUGUCCCUGCCUUCAUGGUAUGGCCUGAGCACACCCCUGCAUCCAUCUAUCCUUCUGCUUGCCCUGGGGAUGACGGCAUCUUACCCACUAAUUGAUCCUCGUGACAGCCUUGUUCCAGGUCACGGGGAGGGAAAAGCUGAUUUCCACCACCGUGGGGUGAUCGAUGGCAGCGGGGAGCGUGCAUCCACCCCCCCCUGCUGCACGCAACAAGGUCACUUAUCAGCUGCUGGCACCCAGCCCCACACUCAGCAAUUCGCACAGGUCCUCCAAGGAAACACAAGCAGGCUCUGAGCAGGAUCACGGUGUAUUUAUACAUUAGUUAUUCUUUUACCCCAGGUCACCCACAGCCUCCUGAUCUGUAAGUACCGACCCUAUUUAUAUACCAGCUGCCACGCUGAGCAGUGCUGUCCCGACCUGGCUGCCCUCCUUACUGGAGAUAAUGGUUAGAUAAUCUAACUGAUCACCUUGCUUCCUGCU